UACGAAGGGGGCUAGCGUUGCUCGGAAUUACUGGGCGUAAAGCGCACGUAGGCGGUCUUUUAAGUCGGGGGUGAAAUCCUGGAGCUCAACUCCAGAACUGCCUUCGAUACUGGAAGACUUGAGUCCGGGAGAGGUGAGUGGAACUGCGAGUGUAGAGGUGAAAUUCGUAGAUAUUCGCAAGAACACCAGUGGCGAAGGCGGCUCACUGGCCCGGUACUGACGCUGAGGUGCGAAAGCGUGGGGAGCAACAGGG
Molecule: ribosomal RNA, 253 nt
Filed under: uncultured bacterium
Lineage: Bacteria
Description: partial 16S ribosomal RNA
Rfam family: Bacterial small subunit ribosomal RNA
Source: RNAcentral